CAUUCUAAAUUAAACUACUC
RNAcentral lists this transfer RNA (20 nucleotides) under Zanclus cornutus (moorish idol). RNAcentral describes it as "partial tRNA-Pro". The record is from RNAcentral. Lineage: Eukaryota; Metazoa; Chordata; Actinopteri; Acanthuriformes; Zanclidae.